This 797-nucleotide ribosomal RNA is filed under the name Bacillus sp. NCCP-2407. RNAcentral's name for it is "bacterial SSU rRNA". It matches the Rfam family "Bacterial small subunit ribosomal RNA", at positions 56 to 836 of the family's 1533-position model. Lineage: Bacteria; Bacillati; Bacillota; Bacilli; Caryophanales; Bacillaceae. The record is from RNAcentral.
UGCAAGUCGAGCGGACAGAAGGGAGCUUGCUCCCGGAUGUUAGCGGCGGACGGGUGAGUAACACGUGGGUAACCUGCCUGUAAGACUGGGAUAACUCCGGGAAACCGGAGCUAAUACCGGAUAGUUCCUUGAACCGCAUGGUUCAAGGAUGAAAGACGGUUUCGGCUGUCACUUACAGAUGGACCCGCGGCGCAUUAGCUAGUUGGUGAGGUAACGGCUCACCAAGGCGACGAUGCGUAGCCGACCUGAGAGGGUGAUCGGCCACACUGGGACUGAGACACGGCCCAGACUCCUACGGGAGGCAGCAGUAGGGAAUCUUCCGCAAUGGACGAAAGUCUGACGGAGCAACGCCGCGUGAGUGAUGAAGGUUUUCGGAUCGUAAAGCUCUGUUGUUAGGGAAGAACAAGUGCAAGAGUAACUGCUUGCACCUUGACGGUACCUAACCAGAAAGCCACGGCUAACUACGUGCCAGCAGCCGCGGUAAUACGUAGGUGGCAAGCGUUGUCCGGAAUUAUUGGGCGUAAAGGGCUCGCAGGCGGUUUCUUAAGUCUGAUGUGAAAGCCCCCGGCUCAACCGGGGAGGGUCAUUGGAAACUGGGAAACUUGAGUGCAGAAGAGGAGAGUGGAAUUCCACGUGUAGCGGUGAAAUGCGUAGAGAUGUGGAGGAACACCAGUGGCGAAGGCGACUCUCUGGUCUGUAACUGACGCUAAGGAGCGAAAGCGUGGGGAGCGAACAGGAUUAGAUACCCUGGUAGUCCACGCCGUAAACGAUGAGUGCUAAGUGUUAGGGGGUUUCCG